Long non-coding RNA from Panicum virgatum (switchgrass), 472 nucleotides. RefSeq lists it as uncharacterized. Lineage: Eukaryota; Viridiplantae; Streptophyta; Magnoliopsida; Poales; Poaceae. The record is from RefSeq and is a predicted model, not a curated record. The transcript is spliced from 2 exons.
CGGAAUAGGCUCAGUCACCAACCGCCACCAUUGGAGCCGCCCGGAGCUCCUGCUCCCCGUCGACCCUCCCCUCCAGACCACCUCCGCUCGAGCCGAGCCCCGGAACGGGUCCCUCUCGGCCCACUGAAGGUCCCCAACCCGUCCCUGCUCGCCCAGCCUCGCCGGACCGCCGCCCCACGCCGCCACCGCUGCCGCCAAGCUCCUGCUCCCGCCGAGGGCCCUUCUCCGGCCACCCCGGCGUCAACCGAGACCACCCGCAGGUACGCUAGAUGUACGACGCGUGGAGCUAAAGGAUAAAGUCGGAGCCGAACCCGAAGAUGAUGUUUGGUUGACAUAUCCAGAAGAUGGAUGGAUGGAUCCCGAUGUGCACGACCGAAGGCAGGUGCUCGUCAAGCGAGUGUCAUCUAACCAACACUAACUAAUUCAGUGUUAAUCCCAGGCAAGCCCCGGAGCAUAACCCUUAACUUUAGUA